UUUCUCUUUAUCAUAUUUAUAUGACUCAUCUUUGUCAAAAGGAAUUACCUUUCCAGUGUCCUUUAACUCUGAUUUAUCUCCAGAAGAAGGAGCAGGACAGACACUGGUUUUAAAAAUCGGGUUCAUUGUUUUUCUUGGGUAGGACUUGCUGGUUUUGAAACUUCUCCUUGUCUUCUUUCUGCUUUGAAGGUUGCUUUAUCUAUAUGAAUUCUACUAAAGAAAAAGGCCUUUGGAGGUGACUGUGCCCUGUCAGCUUGUGAUCAUGGGAGAACAUUUCAGCAGCUUUCAGACCUACUCUGUAAUGAUAAAAGCAUCCUUGGGAGUCAUCCCCCUGUAAAACUGGACAAACCCUUGAAGAGGAAGAAAAUGUUUUUGGCAGAUGAUCGAGUGUUGUAGUUGAAAACAUGCGUCGUGUUUCAGUAGUUGUGGCUGUCACGACAAACAACCCUCAGCACAGCGACAAGUUUACAAAAGAGGGGACCGACUUCUCGUUGGCAUAAUUGAUUAAUUUCCACCGAACCCAAACAUCAUCAGAGAGAGCCACACGGUUUUGUUAAGCUACUGGAAAUAACUUUUGCCUGGGAUUUACAGCAGGAUUCCCUCCCGGCCCGGCCCCUGCGGACUCCAGCAGGCUCACUGCCUAACAGGUUUGCAAAGGUUUUUUUUCUUGUAUAUCCUCUUUUCUCUCCAGAGCCAUGCGAUCACUGUAACUUCAGUUUAAUCAAAAACACUUUCUGUCUUAAUUCUCCCAGUUAUGAAGACUCGUCGAUGCGUUUCAUGUGACCUUUGGGCAGACCGUGGAGCUUUCUAUUUUAUUUUGUGGGGCCUUGAGUCAGGAUCUUCUUAACGUGUGCUUGGAAGUGGUCAUACCGGAACUGGGGCGCGCACAGAAAUAGUGCGAGAGAAACCAGAUACGCCGUAACUUUCUGCCUGAUACCUGUUGGGCUUCGUGUCUAAACUUUGGCAGUGUUUGGGGGCCUUUUUAUUUCCUGGGAACUUCCAGCCAUGAAGAGGAGCUCUGUGCUUUAUUAAUUAUCUUUGAGAACUCUACUCGGAGUCAGACUAUGAGCAUGGAUUUCUGAGGGAAAAGUA
This 1092-nucleotide long non-coding RNA is filed under the name Zonotrichia albicollis (white-throated sparrow). RNAcentral describes it as "lncRNA (ENSZALG00000003997.1)". The record is from RNAcentral. Lineage: Eukaryota; Metazoa; Chordata; Aves; Passeriformes; Passerellidae.